CUGCAGGCUUGGUUGGAUGAUCUUUAUUUGGUGAAAGGAAAACAAAAUUGGCUUUUGGCAAUUGCUUAACAGACAGAUUUGUCACACGUCUGCAUUCUUUUCUCACUCCUCUUUUCUCUGUUCUGUGAAAUAGAUGGAACUCUUAAUGUGCCAAAAUAGUUAAAUAAGAGAUUUUUUUUCAUUGCCGUUUAGUUUCAGGCUAUUUUGAAUUAAUGAAAGUCUCUAGCAUAUUGGUUGAAAUAUUUUUACUUCAUUUUAAAGAGACAUGUUGAAAACAUUUUCUUUGUUUUAAUGUAAUAUUUCAUGCCUGCAAUCAAUUUUCUAAUGUUUACUAACACUUCAUUACGGGGCUCGUUAGGAGAGUGUUUCUUGGCUCUUCAAGAGGCUGUUUUUAUAUAGAAGUGAAAGUGGCAAAUUUGGACUUGUAUCUGCAUUAUCUCAGUACUACCAUCAGAAGGGUAAAGACUAGAUUAAAUGUUCUUUAUUAAGCAACACCAAAACCUUUGUAGUUAAAAUGUUUCUGGAAUUAAAGCAGAAAUAUUCACCAUCAGGGAAAGGGUGGUGGUACUUGUUGGAGUUCAUGUGCUUUAGUAAAAGUUGUGUGUUUUGCAUGCUGGGUGGAGAAAAAUGUGCCAUUUUGUUUAAAUGGUUCUGACCAGACAAAAUGUCUCUUUUUAUUUCUUCUCAAAUUUGAGUUUGGUGUGAUACCUAUACUAGAAGAGGUUUGAUUGUUGUUCAAAACUAUACUCUUAGUUUUGUUUUCUAGAAAUUUUUUAUUUUGUUCAAGUUUUAUAAUGAAAAGUUUUGAUUAUUUACUUUGGACUCUUGCCCCGCUUCUAUCCUUUAAAGGUAUUAAACAGGAAGUAGUAACCCAAAGCUAAAGUAUUGUCUUAAAUAUUAGAACAUAGCCGUAAAAAUAUUGUUGGCAAGAGUAAGGUGGAUUCAUGGUAAAGUUUCUAGUAAUUGCACAUGAACUGUAAUUUUUUUAAAUUAAAAAAGUCUGAAUUGAAUAUGCCCCUUUAGAUGCUGUGUGUUAUAUAGUCACCUUGUAUUAAAGCUGAGAGUCUUGCCUGGAAAAAAAAUUACACGGAGAUUUCACCACAGACCUAUUCUGUAUUAAAUCUGCCCAGAGGAGGGUAGCAUAUGCCAGAUGCCAAAGAUGUAUUACAGGCUAAGUGCUUCAGGAAUUUAAAGAAGGUGGUCAGAAAAAGCUUUGUAGUUGAGGUGAGGCUUGUACUCAUUCUUGAAGAAUGGAACAAAAGUGGGAGGUGUGACAAGAGUAUUUCAGGUGGGGGAAUGACAUAAGCACAUUGGAAGAAGCUAGGAUUUGUCUAAUAUAUUUCAGAAGGUACUGACAGGUUUGCUGAAAUGUAAGUUAAUAUAAGGAUGGGAUAGACAAGGUUAGAAAGGUAAAUUGGGAGACUGUGGAGCACAUUGAAUGCUGGGCUAGGAGCCAUUGAAGGAAAUGAUAAAGGGAGAAUCAUCUAAUAGCAGUGUGGUCAAUAUAAUGGAAUAAGGAGAGAUUGAAGACCAGAAUUGAGAAUGGUUGUAAACAUUCAGUGGAGGGAGAAAGGGCUUUGAACUAGGGUGAUGCAAGAAGAAACAGCAUAAUGGAAAGAAUAAAAAAAGAAUGUUUACAACUUCCUUUUUUGAAAUUGCAUUUAAAAUUCAUAGCACAUAUCUUUAAUAUGGGCAAGUAUCAUAUGAGUGUAGAAUUUAAACACUAGAAAGAUUUAAGAUAUAUUUUAUUCUACUUUUCCAUUUUAAUAUUGAGAAAAUUGACCUCUAAGAUUUAUAUAAUUCUAUGUCAGACUCCAUAUUAUAAUCCCACUCUUAAGAUGUUUAGUCCCUGAGUGAAGUUAUCACAAAUGUUUUUGAGAAAUUAGCUGAAAAAGAACAGCCAAAAAAUCAAAGCACUAGAUCUAAGUGAAAUAUUGCAAAUCUAGGGGAAUACCUUCUCUUUAGUGAUAGUUCAUCUACAGCCUUGGGUGGACUACCCAGGGCUUCUGCAUGGAUCAGUGGGCUGAGCAGUCCAGAUAAGCAACCAGAGUAUACCCUCCACUAGCUGGGCGAUGUCCAAAUCGUUCUGGAGGUUGCACCUGAUGUUCAUUGUUGCCUGAUUAAAACACUACACAGGUUAACCACAAGGCCUGAUCCCCAGCAGACAUUGCUCUGAGCGUAGCUUGCCUAUGAAAGAUUUUUUACUCACCCAUUAACAGAUUUUGGUUUAAUUCUUGGAUUCAGUUCAGAUAUCUUUUUCCCUCCGUGAAAUGCUCAGAGCUCAGAGCAUAAUCACUAGUAAGCUGACUAGUCUACAUAAGGUUCUGAAUGAAGGUGGAAAACAAAUUUCAUCACCCAUGGAGUGGAAAACAGAAUACCUAGAUUUCUUGGGUUUUUCCUGAAGUUUGCCUUGCAGAUGGGCAUGAGUAUAUGACCUUGGAAUCUGGGAGUGUAGUUUCAAGUAGUUCCUGUGGCAAAUGUGGAAUUUCUUUGAAGUUUCUGGGUUUUAUCUUAAAAGUUCAUGAAAAUUUUAUAUUUGAUUCUAUAAUAUACCUGUAUUUUCAAAACAAAAUGUAUUAAAUUACAAAUAUUUGAGAAAAAAAGAUUCUCCAAUGUGUCUCAGUUUGAGAAAUAUAGUUUCAGAGAAUGUAUGUAAUAUAUGUCAUCUUUUAUUUAUUCAGUUUAUUUAAAUCAAAUCAUUCCCCCCUACCCCCAAAAAAGGAUUUAAAGUAGCGUAAGUAAAGGACACACAUAAGGUUAAUAGGAAUAUGUGACGUGCUAUAAUCCUUUCAAUGAGGCCACCUGUUUCCAAACUCAGACUCUCCGUUUAGGAAGGUGAGUUUCAUUAAGGAAUUUGAGAUUUUCAAAUAAAUGUAAAAUACUAGAUAGAGAGGUAUCUUAUAGAUACCAAAGAUAAAAUCUCAUAAAAUCAUUGAGUUAGGACCUUAAUAAUGGUCCAGUAGUUCCCAAUUCUAGAUAUACAUUAAAAUAAAUUGAAAAGCCUUUUAAAAAUAUAGAUCCCUGGACCCCACUGGACCUACUGAAUUGUAUUCUUUGGGGAGCCCAAGAACUUAUUAAAUUCUCUGGGCUGUUUUUAUGAUUACUGUGAACUGUUACUGGGAACCACUGACUGAAUCCAUCUUUUAUAGUAAUGUUUCCAACAGAAGGCUGUUUGCCUUUGCUUAACAUUAUUUCCAGUGAAGUAUCAUUUUCCAUUCUUGGAGACAGCUCAAAAGUUUUCUUAAAUAACAGCUUUAUUGAGACAAUUUAUAUGCCAUACAAUUCACCUAAAGUGUGUAAUUCACUGGUUUUUAGUGUGUUCACAGAAUUGUGCAACUGUCACCACAAAUUUAAAACAUUGUCACAAUCCCAGAAGAAACCUCAGACUUCUUAGCAGUGACUUCCCUAUCUUCCCACCCCUAUCCAACACCACCCAAAGCAGCAACUAAUCUGCAUUUUGUCUCUAUGGAUUUGUCUGUUCUGGACAUUUCAUAUCAAUGGAAUCAUAUAAUAUGCUGUUCUUUGUUACUGACCUCUUUUACUUAGCGUAAUGUUUUCAGUGAAGCAUGUAUUACUGUUUUAUUGCCAAAUACAAUUACAUUGCAUACAUAUACUACAUUUUAUUUAUCCAUUCACCAGUUGAUGGAUCUACAGGAUUGUUGCCAUGUUUUAGCUAUUAUAACUACUGUUGUGUGGAUAUUUUUAUUUCUCGUGGAUAUAUAUCUAGGAAUGGAAUUGCAGGGUCAAAUGGUAACUCUAUGUUUAACUUUUUGAGGAAAUACCAAACUGUUUUUAAAAAUGGCUGUGGCAUUCUACAUUCCUUCCAGCAGUGUAUGAGUGUUUCAGUUUCUCUUCAUUCUCAGCAACACUUAUUAUGUCUUUUUGAUUAUAGGCAUCCUAGUGAGUAUGAAGUGGUGUUGCAUUGUGGUGUUGAUGCGCUUUUAUGAUGGCUAGUGAUACUGAGCAUCUUUUCAUGUGCCUAGUGGCUAUUUGUUUACAUUCUUGGGAGAAAUGUCUAUUCAGAUCCUUUGCCCAUUUAAAAAUUGGGUUGUCUUUUAUUGUUCAAUUGUAAGAGUUCUUUAUUCUGAGCAUAAAAAUAAACAAAAGACAAAGAGCCAUAUCCAUUAGUAUUUAUUGCUUGCAUACUGUGCACCAAACACUGUUCAAUAUGGAACUUGACCUCAAGACGUCUAAAUUUUAGGGAGGCGGCUGGAUGCAGCGGCUCAUGCCUUGUAAUUCUAGCACCCUAUCUCUCAAUCAAUCCAUCAAUAAAUUUUAGGGAGGUAAGGUAUAGAUAUCUAAAAGCAAAUACACACAGGUAGUAUGUAAUUAAAUGUUGGAAUAAUUGAAACAAAAGCAAUGCUAUGGGAUAGUUAAAUAGUGUUUUUCAAAUACAAUAUAUGAUGUGAGAAGAAAGAAUUUCAAUAGAUUAAGACAGAGUCUCCAUUAUAAUGAAAAAGGAAAAUUAUUGCAGGUUGGAAUUGUGGAAUUAAAAUCAUCAAGAAGAAGUUAAGUGAUGGGUAGGUUAUUCUAUAGCUGUCACCCAAUUGCUUCCUUAACUUAACCUUCUUCUCUUUUGCCUCUUGCUCACCCCUUUCCAGCCACAGAAGUCCCCUUGCCAUUCCUCAGGCAUUCUAAACACACUCCCACCUUAGAUUCUUUUCAUUUGCUCUUGACCGUUUUUAUUCACUCUACCUGUAACCCUUACUCCACUUACCUCAAUGGCUUGUUCUCUCCUUCCUUGAAGUGUUGUUAUGUCAGAGAAGCUUUCCCUGACAUCUGUAUGCAAAACAGUAAUACUCUUUUCAGUACACUCUCGUCUUUGUUAUGGUCUGUUUUCUUCAGAGCACUUAUCAUCAUUUGAUGAUUUUUGGUUACUUGUUUGGUAUCUGUCCCUGCCAGGGUGACCCACUGCCUUGAUUUGCCUUGGACUGAGGGGUUUUCUGAGAUGCAGAACAUUCAGUGUUAAAAAAGGACAGUCCCAGGCAAACUGGGAUAAUGAGUCAUCCUGUCUUUUCACUGGAAUGAAAGCUUCAGGAGAGAGUGGAAUUUGUUCACCGCUGUAUCCUGGUAAUUUGAAGAGUACCUUGCAUGUAGAGGUAUACAAUGCAUAUUUGUUAGAUAAACAGAUUUCCUUUAAGUUUCUGUAUUCCUGAAGAGACUUGCUAGUUUCUAGGACUAAAAAAUACACUUUAGAUUAAAAUUUAAAAUAGUAGAAAAAAAUUUAGUUUUAGAGAAAUUUGGAGGGAUAAAAAUCAGUUAACAGAACCUCUGAAACAAUGAUUUUCAGCCUCUGUUUUGCAAUACCCUGUGGUAUAUUCAGCUCCCUCAAAGGAUAUUAUGAAAUUCUUUACCCCUAAAGUAAUAAUGAUAAUUCACUUUAAUUUAAAAUAAAGUUGCAUAAAGGAGGAAGGGUGGAUUAUAAACUUAAUUGAGAAAAGCAUGUUGCAAUUGUGGUAGAUUGGAAAGCACUGCAGUCUGACUUCCUGGUUUGAGGAAGCUGAGGGUAAUUUAGUGUUUGGGACAAGCAGCUUCAGGGUAGUGAACCUAAUGCUACUGCAGGUAUAAGUCACUAAUCGUGUGAUUCCUUCAGUGACUGUUCUGCUUGAGUAGAAUAUAAGAGUACCAAUACCUUGUCAGUUUUCCUCCUCUGCUGUUCACCGCAUUACCUACAGAAAGACAUCUUCUGAAUGUGUCCUUGCAAAAUAGUUCCCAUCCCCAGUGUACACAAAAUAUAUACAAAGAAUGCACUAAGUUGAAAUGUACUGCAUGUAACACACUUCAAAAAUGCGAUCCAGAUGUAUGGUGCUUGAUGCCUAGACACUUCUAAGUGCCUUGGCCUAUAACAUAUUUUAAAAUAGAAUGUUCUCUCCUUUUUCAAAUCUCUGUUUGAUGCCUCAUUUGAGACCUAUAAAACACUUGUCCUUAGCCCUGAAGCUGGACAUAGUACUCAAGACAGAUAAGUAAGCAGAAUUACAGCAUAGAGUGACAAGUGUGAAGGUGGAGGUAUAUGCACAGAGCACUGUGGGAACAUGGAGGGGGCACUUUACCAGAUCCAUGUAUGUGUGCUGAGAUUCCCACCUCCUUGUUAGAGAGUGUGGCUGCAGGCUACCGGAAGAUGAAAACCUUCACUGGGGGUGCUGUGGGCCAGAAUUGAUGCAGGUGGCCUACUGGGUGCUGGUAAGCCACGGCUGGCAAAGUGGGAAUGGGCUGGUUUCAGUGAAACAGGCUGGAGGAAGGGCACUAAUGGGUCUCCUGCAUGGCUCUGGUGACUGCACUGUGGGAGGAAGGAGGAAAGUACACAGAACCAAGAUAAGAAUCUCUUCUCUCUGCUGUGCCUUGCACUGUCUCUCCAUCACUCUGUUAACAAGCUGAAUACUGUACCUGUUGGCAAAGGAAAAUUGUUUACAGGUUCUGUCCCCAGCUUCAUAAACAGGGUAAAGCAGAGUGGCUUUGGGAGAUGAGAGGCAAUAAAUGAAUGAAUAGCACAACUAGAUAAUGCCAAACUUAUCUUCCAGUUUAUUAUUUUUACUAUUAAACCUAUCCUUAUGAGUUCUUAAGUUUAGAGAAUAUGUUCUUCAGUUCCACAAUUCCAUUCAAUUCCUUUCUAUAAAUUCCAAUUCUCUGGUUAAUUUAUCUUUUCAUCUAUCUUUUCAUAUUCUAAAUGGCUUUCUCCACUUUCUUGCAUAUGUAAAUCAUAUUUAUUUUCUAGUCCUUGUGAGCUAAUUCUAGUAUCUGAAAUGUGUUUGGGCUUUUUUGUUUUGUUUGCUAUUUUUUUUUUUUUUUUUUUUGGUUCUCCAUCACUUGGCUCUGUUUUUGGUGUUUCUGGUAGUUUUGAGUGAAUGUCAGACAUUCCAGUUAAAACACUAUAGAGGCUCCAGAUAACGCUAUCUUCUUCCAGAAAGAGGGUUUAUUGUCCCCCCUGGUAGGGACAUAGGCUGAUGUGAUUGGUUGAUCACUUUAAUCCAGUCAGGGAUUUUGCUGAGUCGAGGCUAGUUUAUGGCUUUGCUAAGAGUCUGUUUACUUCUGGUUCACUUCUGUCCUGGAAUAGUGUUCUUCAGGGUUUUACUUGGGAGGCUGGAGUGGCCAGUAUUCCUAAACAAUUCUAAGUGCCUUGGCCCACAAUAUACUUUAGGAUAGAAUUCUCUGUCAUUUGUCGAAUAUUUAAACACACAAGCAAUAUGGAUCCCAAAUUCUAAAUGUUGUCUUACAAGACUGCUGAUUGCUUUGCUGUAUUUUUCACAGGCGUUUUCUUAAUUUUUAGCUUCUUGACCUGGGCUACCCCGGAAUUCUUCAAAGUCUUGAGGGGAGCUGGCUGCAUUUUUGAGGUCUCUCAACACUGCCAAAAGUUCCAGUGGUUUCUCUAAGCCUCAGCAGCAGUUUUGUGACUGUGUGGAGCCUGGAUUAUCAGCCUCCCUCCUGUACCCAGAAUUUGCAAAUGUCCCCUGGGUAAAACCAGCUGGAGACAUCAGUUCCUCACCCUGAGGUUCUCUCCUCGUGAUUCUCAGCCUCCCAGUUCUCAUUGCUUCCAUAGAUAGCAAAUACCUUCAGAUAGAUUUCUAUAUUUUAUUUAGCUUUCUAGUUGUUUUUAUUGAGAGUGCUGGUCUGUGUAGAGCUACUUCAUCCCACCUGGAAGCAUAAGUCCUCUGUAUUAUAUUUUGAGAACACAUAAUUUUACAAUUUACCUUCAAAGUAAUAGUACGAAAGACUUCAGCAGAUGAUAAAAUACAGUGUACAUGUAUUACACCUUGGUAGGAAUACAGAAUUAAUAAAGUUAAUUGUUAAUAAUUAAUAAAAAUGAUAUUAAUAAAAUGUUCAAUAAGAUUAAUAAAAAUUAACAAAAUGAAGAUUACAGUACUUCUUCAUUUUUUAUGAAAACCUAGAUGUUAACUUCCAAUAUAUACAUUCCUAAGGUAGAAAUAAGAACAUUAUAUAGCAUGGCAUCUCUGGUUCUCUUGAUUUUAAUGCAGCAUGUAAUCAAAGGAUGCAUCAUCAGUAAAUGACCCAAGAGAAUAUGAGAAAAUUACUAGAAAUUUUGGUGGAAAACUGGUUUAUGUGUUGAUGAACUAAAAACUAUUGUAUUUUUACCAUGUCUAUUUUCUCAGCCAGGGAAACAUUUUAUGAGGUAGGAAGAAAAUUAAUAUUAUUAUUAUUAUUUUUUAAAUAUACUUCCUAAAGGAAGACGUGGAAGAACCCUCGUUAAAAAUUAUGAUGUAUGAUUUCAUCUGUUUUCAAAGGUGUUGCUAUUAUAUUAUAGCCAAUUAUAGAUUAAAAAGAGUAUUAAUAUAUACACAUAUGCAUACACAAAUAAUUUGAAAGCAUGUGUUAUAAACAAAGCUUUAAAAGCAUAGUUGUCGAAAAACAACAUCUUGAAAGCACAAACAAGGUACAUUAAAAAUGUUCACUCUCAUAAGACAAAUGAAAAAAAGGCAAACCAAGUUAUUUUUUGAAAUCCAAUGGCAAAUAUAACAUUUAGCAGAUGUUGCCAGUUUUGAUUUACUCUAUUGAAUUGUAAAACAGCUUUUGGGAAAAUGAGGUACUGAGUUGAGUGUAAACCACUGCAAUUCAAGAAUAUGCUUAUCCAGAGGAGUUAUUUAAUCAGUUUUGAAGAUUCCCCUUUGUCAUUGGUUGGUCAUCUCUUGUCAUCCACCUACUCUUCGUCACCUCCUAUUCUCUCCACCACUCUCUUCAAAGAGCUGGAUUUUUAAAUAAUAAUAAUUAGCAUUCAAAAUGCAAAUAAGUACCAAGAAAAACCAGUCUGUAACCCUAUAUGACUUAAAGAUGAAUAUUCACGGUUUAGUAGAUAUUUAUUUCUGGUGUUUUUCUGCCUAUGCUAUGUGGACAUAUGUACAAUACAUUUUUCAAUUUUUAAAUUUUAUAUGUUAUUGUAAGCAUUUUUCCUAUGACAUUACAGAUUUAUCAUAAGCACCUUUUAAAAUUGGCUUUUGUUCUUUUGAUCUGUUCCUGAUUGCUAGUACCUCUCUAGGAAGAUGAAAGAUGUAUCUCAAACCAGUCCUUUUUCUUUAUUUUUGUUUGUUACUCAUAGAGAGUUCCACUUGAAGCUAAAAGAAAUGAUGAUUACUUGUGAAUUCUUAACCACCUUUCCCCUUACCCUGACUAACUAAUAGUUGGUUAUGGUUAAUAACUUACAAAAAAAUCUAUUAGUUCAUCAUUUUAAGACUAAUGUCUGUCAACAGGGAUUCUACCUUUGUUUCUCUUAAGAAAAUAAGGGAGAAAUGAAGGUUUUAGUAACAUUAAAAUUGGUUUUGGCUAAUAUAUUAUACCAUUGAGCAGAAGAUAGAGAAUCAAUCUUUCACUAGGACUUUGGUUUAAUUGGAGAAUCAGGACUUAGACAUUAAAAGGGAAAUAUUGUAGCAAGUUACAUAGAGUGUAUUGUCAUAGCAGAUUAUAUACAUCUUUAUUGCAUUAUAUUCUUAAAUAUAAAUAAAAAACAGCCUUAGGUUUUAUUUUCCUUUUUUUCUUCUUCCUAAUAUGGUUUACAAAGACAUUGAAACUUUUGUGAAAUGUUCAUGAUUUGGGGAUAAUAUUUUUUCCUUUAUGAUACUGAGGAUUUCAGAAAUUUUUAAUGCCUCUUUAGCCACUUGCUGUUAAGUAAGCUUCCUGAAAUAGUUAUGAACUUCAUGUGUAUACAUUAGAUUUUCAGAGGAGUCAGACUUUUAUUAUAUAUUUAAAAAGAAUGUACAGUUGAUUGUUGAUUAUAUUCCCUCAGGAUCUUUAAAUUAUUUCAUAUUCUUCACUUGUUUCAAAGGCUGGUGUUACAACUAGCUUGCUUUGUACGCUUUUGGUAUACAGGGUCUUUUGAGGAAAGGGCUAUUUAUUUUUUAAUAAAGUUUUAAUUUUAGAAUUUUAGUUUUAGAUUUAUAGAAAUGUUGCCAAGACAGUACAGAGAGCAGAGAGUUCUUGAAUGCCUCACAUUCAGUUUCUCCUAUUAUUAAUAUCUUACAUUACUAUGGUAUGUUUGUAACAAUUGAUAAACCAAUAUUGAUAUAUUAUUAUUAACUAAAGUCCAUACUUUAUUCAGAUUUUUAAAGUUGUUUCCUGAUGUCCUUUUUCUGUUCUAGGAUCCCAUCUAGGAUUCCACGUUGCAUUUAGUCAUAUGUCCUUUUGGGAUCCUCUUGUGACAGUUUUUCCUAUUUUCCUUGUUUUUGAUAACUUUGAUGGUUUUGCAGAGUAACUGGCAGGCUAUUUUAUAGAAUGUCACUCAGUUGGGAUUUGUCUGAUUUUUUUUCAUGUUUAGGCUGUGGUUAUGGGCUUUUGGUAGGAAGACUUCAGAGAUACAAAGCUGUUUUCAUUACAUAUCAAGUCAUAUUGAUAGUCAUGUAUUAUCAAUAGAACUUUUCAGUGUUGUUGACCUUAAUCACUUGGCUUGAGGGAGCUACCCUGUAAAGCUAUUCUUUCUUUCCCUCUUUUAUACUGUACUAUGGAAGGGACUCACUGUGUGUAACCCUUAGAAGUGGGGAAUUAUACCCUCUUUGAGGGCAGUGUCUAAUAAAUUAUUUGGAAUUUUACUGCAUGGGAGAUUCAUCUCUUCUCCCCAUUUAUUCAUUUAUCCAAUCAUUUAUUUAUGUCAGUAUGGACUUACAGAUAUUUAUUUUAUACUUUGGGUUACAGUGCAAUACUAUGUUAUCUAUUUUGUUAUUCAAAUUCUUCCAGCUUUGGACAUUGGACAUUCUUUCACUUGGUUUCUGUAUUCCUUUGACAUGCCUCCAUCAUUAUAGGGUUUUUAUUUAUUUGUUUUUUUGAAACAUUUUCUUACUUCCUGGUACUAUGAGAUGAUCUAGGUUCAUCUUGUCAGUUUCUUGCUUCAGUCUUAGUAUCAUCCAUUUCUCUGAGGAGCCCUUGUCCUUUUUAUUGGAGAAAGGUUUUAGAAACCAAGAUCUGAUUGCUAGUGUGCUUGUUGCUACUGGGAUGUCAUUGCUUUUAUUUAGGUCCUUUCAGCUCACAGAACAAGGAAAUGUGCAUAUCUAUAAAUAUUUGUAUAUGUAGCCAUCUGUACCUAUAUUAAGGGAAACAUGAUUUCAUACUAUUGUCUUCAACUCUUAUCCACUUCCACAUGGGUCAUUCUAGUCACCAGGAAGGAUUAUUUUAAGAUCACAUUUGUGUAUGUACUGAUGUCUGCCUUCCUGUGAUAUUAUUCCUUUUUAUUAGUUAAUUCCUUCUACAAACAUGUAUUGAGUGUAUAUUAUAUUUAAGCCUUGUACUAAGUGCAAGGGAUACAAAAAUGAAUGAUUCAUUGAUGCCUUCACAAUUUCUUCAAUACCUGUUUGUUGAAUACCUCAUAUUUAGCACUGUGCUCCAUUCUCACACUUUAGUAGUGGGGAAAAUAUGGCUACAGACAGUUAUGCUAUAAGGCGAAAUGUAACUGUGAUACAAGGUGGGGAAAAAAGUGUGUUCUUGUGUUGCUUAAAUAGUAGCUAAGACUGAGUGAUUUAUAAAGGAGAGUAGUCUCUUUUGGCUUACAGUUCUGCAGGCUAUACAGAAAACAUGGCAUGGCAUCUGCUUCUGGAAAGAGCCUCAGGGAUCUUACAAUUAUGGCAGAAGGCAAAGGGGAAGUAGGCAUGUCACAUGGUGAGAGCAGGAGCAAGAGGGAGAGGAGGGGCGGCCACACUUUUUCGAACUGUCAGAUCUCAUGUGAAUUCAGAGUGAGAACUCACUGAUUACCAUGAGGUUAGACCCACCCCUAUGAACCAGACACCUCCCACCAGGCCCCAACUCCAACAUUGGGAGUUACAUUUCAACAUGAGAUUUGGAGGGGACAGAAGUCCAAACUAUAUCAGAAAGAUAAUAACAAAGUUCAGAUGAAGAAAAAUUACUUCAGGAAAGAUAGUCAUGUGAUGAAUUUAGCGGUUAGAACCUGGUGAGAUACAAGUGACAGAAAAUACAAUCAAACAGGUUAAAAAAAAUUGAUUUGUUCAUAUACCAGUAAAGACCAGAAGUAGAACUAGCUUGGGGUGUGAAUAGUUUUAGGGCUUAAACAAUGUAAUCAGGGCUUUGCUUUGCCUUCUGCUCAUGCUGAUAUUAUCCUUGGUCUCUUCCUAGUAUCUCCUAGUACUUCUAGGUGAACAUCAUAACACAUAGUUCCAAAGAAGAGAAAGUCUGGUAUCACAGAGUCUUGGAAUUGAGACUUGUUUGUUUUGACUCUUUUCAUAUAGGUCAUUGUAUCCAUGAACAUUAUUGCUCUGGGGCACAGAAUGUGCUGAUGAGCUUAGCUUUGUAUAUAUGCUUCAUCUGUUUCACAGAUGUUGGUUUUGUGAUUAUUAUUAAUUAAGCUAUUCAUUUUUGUUUUGUGAACUUGUCCAUGUAUUUGUUAUAUUUUACAAUAUAUUUUUUAAAAAAGAGCUAAAUAUGUUUAGCAUAUAAAUUUUAAUCAAUGUAAUUCAUCAGAUUCAGGUAGUCCACUUAAUUCUAAGAUGGCUAUCUACAAAGAAACUUACUCCUAAGCACAUCAUGGCAAAUGACAGAAAACCAAAGACAAGGAGAAAAAUCUGAAAACAACCAGAGAAAACAAAAAAGCAACCAUUAGAUUGUUAGCUGACUUCUGAGUAGCAAUAAUGGAAGAUAGAAUACAGUUUAGUGAUAUAUUUGAUGUGAUAAACUAAACAACAAUUUAAAAUCCUAUAUCUAGCAAAAAGAUUCUUAACUAAGUGAAAUAAAUCUAUUUUCAAGUAAACGAAAGCAGAGACUUCAUCAUUAGCAAACCUUUACUAAUUCUUCAGGGAAAUGAAAGAUAAAAAUCUCAGAUGGAAGACUAGAGAUGCAGAUAGGCAUAAAGAGCAACAAAAUAUAAUAAAGGGAGCUAGUAGUUAAAGAGUGUAUAAAAUUAUAAAUCAUCUAGAGGGUGUUUCAGCUAGAAUUGUUUUAUACAUUCUGGCGGUUGUUAGAAUUUAUGUUCCCAAUAUAUUUCACGUAGGCAAAUAUUAAAUUAUGUGACUUCUUGUUAUUUACUGGUUGGGGAGUGGGGAAGUGGGUAAAUAUAGGGUGAAAAAAGAAAAUGACACUAAAGCUUGGCUUUGCAAGUGGCUAAUUUAAUGCUGACCGUGUCUGCCAUCCUGCUUUCUGCAUUUAUCUUCUUGUAGCGCUGUGAUUAUUUCUUGGGGACAUCAGGAUAUAUUGAUUGCUGGUUCCUAGCUCCCAAAGAUUUCAAUUUAUUUACUUAGUCUGGGGUAGAACCUGGGUAUCAGUGGCUUUGGAAAGCCAUUUCUAAGGCUGGGCAACAUGGCAAAACCUUGUCACUACAAAAAACACAAAAAUUAGCCAUGCAUGGUGGCUUACACCUGUAGUUGCAGCUACUUGGCAGGCGGAGGUGGGAGAAUCCCUUGAGCUCAGGAAGUUGAGGCUGCAGUGAGCUGAGAUGGUACCACGGCACUCUAGCUUGGGUGACGGAGUGAGACCCUGUCUCAAAAACAACAAACAAACAAAGCCAAUUCUAGUGUUAUAACCAGAGUCGAGAACUACAGGUUUUGGAAAUGAAUAUGGGCGAGACAGAUCUUAAUUCUAGACUUAGUUUUAUUGAUUACUAGUUGGAUUAUGGUGGAUCUAUGUAUUUAUUUAUUGUUAAAACUGAUAAGUACCUAUCUCACAGGGCCAUUUUAGGGAAUAAAGACAGUAACAUUCAAAUGUAGAAAUGAAAAGAAAACCAGAGGUGUGGAGGUCAAAAUGACCAAGGGCAACGUAUAAUCAUUAUCAGAGAGAGCUUAGCAUGUGGACGUAUUUUCAAAGAAGCCCUAAGUUUACCUUUAUAAUUGAAGCAGUUUGUUUGAUUUUUGUACUUAUCUUUCAACUCCUAUCGAAAUGAGGUUUUGUACUUGCUGAGGUCUUUAGGAUUGGGAUUAUUCUGCUGUACUUGGGUUAUCUACAGGAAUGGGCACAUGACAGAGGAAGAGUCUUAUAAGUUUUGAACCUGUUUCUAAUAUAUGUUUUCUCCAACAUUUUUAAAAAGCAAAAAAAAAAAACAAAAAAAAAA
Sapajus apella (tufted capuchin) is the source of this 13984-nucleotide long non-coding RNA. RefSeq lists it as uncharacterized. The record is from RefSeq and is a predicted model, not a curated record. The transcript has 2 exons. Lineage: Eukaryota; Metazoa; Chordata; Mammalia; Primates; Cebidae.